UUGGGGUAAAGGUUGAGUAAAGUCGGCCAAAGUUAAAGGUCUAGGUAAGUCAUUUCGAGCUAAAGGUCAAAUCGAGUUGGCUCAAGCUGAAUAUCGAGUUGCAUCGAGACCGAAGGUCAGGCAACACGACCAAAGGACAAGUAGCAACAACCCAACCAAAGGUUGGCUAGCAUUGGCCCCAACCGAAGGUUGAGCUGUGCCAGCCUCAAACGAAGAUCAAGUCAUGCUUGCCCCGACCGAGAGUCAAGCGAAGUUGACCCUGACCAAAAUUCAAGUCGAGUCAACCCCGAGAGAAGGUUGAGCUUAGGUCGAGUCGUCUUGACUGUUAAACUGCCUUUUAGUCGCCUAAGGCAAAACAAAGAACCGGUCCCCAUUAAUGAAGUAUAGGGCAACCAGAAUACCAAUCCUAGGACUCAGCUAAUUAAGAUUAAAGUGUAGGGUUAGGUUGAUGGGUGUCGCAACCCAUACAAAUUUAAUUGCAUAUUAGAAAUGCAGUAUAGCUAGGGAAUGACUCCUAGGUCGUCUCUCAAGGACCAAUUUUGUGGUUCGAGAAUUAGGUCUAACACGAAAGGGGGGGGUUUGAACAGUGUUCUUGAAAUGAUAAUUAAGCUUAAUUAAAGUGCAUGAAAACAUUAAACUAAACACUGCAACAAAUAAAUAUUCAAACAAAACUAAAAUUAUUAAAAUUGCAACACUUAAUUAAAAAGAUAAAAAAAAACAAUUCAUGUAAGAUAUUCUAACAAUGCAAAAGAAAUUAAAAAAAAAAACAUAAAACUAUUUUAGCAUUACGUGACAUGUUAAACUUCCAAGGAUUUCAUGAAAAAGAAAAUAUCAAAAGAAAAAUAAUUGGACAAAUUGAAAAGCUGCUGGACAUCCGUGACACAUGCUAUAUCAUUUAGCAUAAUUGGAAUAACUUUUCCUAAUGUCUUCUUCCUACUAGGCAUGAUGCAACGCUGCACCACUUCCAAAGAGAGAAAAUAAAACUUGUUUUUCCUAAUUAAAUCAUCACCGUGCAAUGUGUGCCUUUUCCAAAUUAAAAUGUGAAUCAGCCAUUUAAAACAAAAGUAAAUAAAAACCGUAUGCCACCUCCAGCUUAAAUUAAAAUGAACUGUGCCUCUUCAAAUGUAAAGAAAAUCAACGCUUCUCUCAAGCUUCAUUCCAGCAACGUGCAGCUCACUCCAAGCAAUACAUCAACGUGUGCACCUCCAAUUUUUCUAGCUGCCAGCUACANGAAUUAAAUUAAAAUGCAACAAGUUGAUACAAAUGAAAGUAACACCGUAUACACAUGAAAAAGGAAGAGAAAUUGUUGUUCUUUCAUUCAACCCAAGUAACAGCAUUGCAAGAAGAAAAAGAAAAAAAAAAUCUAUUCAUUCCUCCAUGAAUGUUAAAAACUCGUGAG
RNAcentral lists this long non-coding RNA (1399 nucleotides) under Vigna radiata. RNAcentral's name for it is "long non-coding RNA (VRAD_LNC006812)". The record is from RNAcentral. Lineage: Eukaryota; Viridiplantae; Streptophyta; Magnoliopsida; Fabales; Fabaceae.